GGCUCUUUAGCUCAGUUGGUAGAGCAGCGGCCUGAAGAGCCGCGUGUCCCCAGUUCAAGUCUGGGAGGAGCCACCA
This 76-nucleotide transfer RNA is filed under the name Candidatus Saccharibacteria bacterium 32-50-10. RNAcentral's name for it is "tRNA-Phe". It matches the Rfam family "tRNA". Rfam says of the family: Transfer RNA (tRNA) molecules are approximately 80 nucleotides in length. Their secondary structure includes four short double-helical elements and three loops (D, anti-codon, and T loops). RNAcentral also lists the same sequence under 1 other name. The record is from RNAcentral. Lineage: Bacteria; Candidatus Saccharimonadota.